RNAcentral lists this long non-coding RNA (264 nucleotides) under Trifolium pratense (red clover). RNAcentral's name for it is "long non-coding RNA (TPRA_LNC005194)". The record is from RNAcentral. Lineage: Eukaryota; Viridiplantae; Streptophyta; Magnoliopsida; Fabales; Fabaceae.
AUAUGAGGGAACAAAGCUGUUGAUCCUUAAGAAUGAGAAAUACUUGUAUGCUCACGUGACCAAAUUCACUUUUUGGUCACAACCAACAAAAAUUUGACACCUCAUAAGCAAAUAAAUAAAUAUAUAUGAGAGACUGUCUUCAACAAAAGAAAAUGAACAGUAACCACGUCCACAGCCACCACCAACCACCGUCAUCGUUGAACAUAUUUUCCAACGAUGAACCUUAUUCCUUCCACCUCGGCGAGAAAACUCUUUUUCUUGAUG